CAACCCUCAAGCACCGCUUGGUGUUGGGCGCUUGUCCCUGCCGGGGGCAGGGACUCGCCCCGAAUCCAUUGGCAGCCACCGCACCGGGCCAACGAGCGCAGCAGAAUUCGCGCCUCGGGCAAGGAGCGUGGGCGACCCACUGAGCACCCCAUCCA
This 155-nucleotide unclassified non-coding RNA is filed under the name Tetraploa aristata. RNAcentral describes it as "sequence contains ITS2". The record is from RNAcentral. Lineage: Eukaryota; Fungi; Ascomycota; Dothideomycetes; Pleosporales; Tetraplosphaeriaceae.